Asparagus officinalis (garden asparagus) is the source of this 749-nucleotide long non-coding RNA. RefSeq lists it as uncharacterized. Lineage: Eukaryota; Viridiplantae; Streptophyta; Magnoliopsida; Asparagales; Asparagaceae. The transcript has 4 exons. The record is from RefSeq and is a predicted model, not a curated record.
UUUAUUUUCGUGAAAAAGAGGAAAGAAACCUCGUGCUCUCUCUCAUCUCUCAUCAGAACCAUUCUCUCUCUCUCUCUCUCAUCAGAAAUCCUCAAAUAUCCCAUUCUCUCCCUCUCUCUCAUCAGAAAUCCCCAAAUCCCCCGUUCUCUCUCACUCUCAUCAGAAAACCGGCCCGAAACCCCGUGUCGUCAGAGUUCGCCGCUGCCGUCGAAGUUCACCGCUGCCAUCUCAUCGGCAACAUCUCUUUGUUUCUCUCUCUUCUCCACGAUUCAAAGCAGCAAUCUCAGCUUUUCUCUUUCAAGACAUCAUCAACAUGGAAGGUGGCAAGCAAGAAUAGGAAGAGUUGCCGGGAACAAUGAUCUCUAUUUAGGAACAUUCAGUAUCAACUGUUUGCAGUUAGUUCAGUUAGUUGUUCAUGUGGACUAGCAGAUUGGAGAUUUGUCUAUAAGUUAAUUAGGUUGCAUUUUAUAUUUUUUGAAGGAAUUUGGAUUUGAUUAUCUUGGAAGCAUAGAGCAACUUGUCAUGAGGUUACAAGCAAACUGGAAUAUUUAAACAGUUGUUCCCUUUUUUUUCUUUUCUUUCACAUUUUCCUCUCUUUCCAUUGUGUUUUUUUCCUUCAUGGAUUACAAGCAAACUGGAAUAUUUAAACAGGCAUUUGAGUGUUGACUUGAAAAUGGAAAUGAAUGUAACUAUUUUUAGUCCAUUAAGAUGUGUAUUUAUUUUUUAUUUUAUACGAUAAAAUUUUUAUU